This 388-nucleotide ribosomal RNA is filed under the name uncultured bacterium. Its description in RNAcentral is "bacterial SSU rRNA". It matches the Rfam family "Bacterial small subunit ribosomal RNA", at positions 29 to 417 of the family's 1533-position model. The record is from RNAcentral.
AUUGAACGCUGGCGGCGUGCCUAACACAUGCAAGUCGAGCGGUAACAGGUGUAGCAAUACAUGCUGACGAGCGGCGAACGGGUGAGUAAUGCUUCGGAAUCUACCUUAUGGUGGGGAAUAACUAGCCGAAAGGUUAGCUAAUACCGCAUACGUCCUACGGGAGAAAGCAGGGGAUCGUAAGACCUUGCGCCAAAAGAUGAGCCGAAGUCGGAUUAGCUAGUUGGUAGGGUAACGGCCACCAAGGCGACGAUCCGUAGCUGGUCUGAGAGGACGACCAGCCACACUGGGACUGAGACACGGCCCAGACUCCUACGGGAGGCAGCAGUGGGGAAUCUUGCGCAAUGGGCGAAAGCCUGACGCAGCGACGCCGCGUGAGGGAUGACGGCCU